This 495-nucleotide ribosomal RNA is filed under the name uncultured bacterium. Its description in RNAcentral is "partial 16S ribosomal RNA". It matches the Rfam family "Bacterial small subunit ribosomal RNA", at positions 29 to 506 of the family's 1533-position model. The record is from RNAcentral.
AUGAACGCUGGCGGCGUGCCUAAUACAUGCAAGUCGAGCGAACAGACGAGGAGCUUGCUCCUCUGACGUUAGCGGCGGACGGGUGAGUAACACGUGGAUAACCUACCUAUAAGACUGGGAUAACUUCGGGAAACCGGAGCUAAUACCGGAUAAUAUAUUGAACCGCAUGGUUCAAUAGUGAAAGACGGUUUUGCUGCCACUUAUAGAUGGAUCCGCGCCGCAUUAGCUAGUUGGUAAGGUAACGGCUUACCAAGGCGACGAUGCGUAGCCGACCUGAGAGGGUGAUCGGCCACACUGGAACUGAGACACGGUCCAGACUCCUACGGGAGGCAGCAGUAGGGAAUCUUCCGCAAUGGGCGAAAGCCUGACGGAGCAACGCCGCGUGAGUGAUGAAGGUCUUCGGAUCGUAAAACUCUGUUAUUAGGGAAGAACAAAUGUGUAAGUAACUAUGCACGUCUUGACGGUACCUAAUCAGAAAGCCACGGCUAACUACGU